GUGCCAGCAGCCGCGGUAAAACGUAGGAGGCGAGCGUUAUCCGGAUUUACUGGGUGUAAAGCGCGUGCAGGCGGUUGGAUAAGUUCGAUGUGAAAGCGCCUGGCUCAACCGGGCGAGGACGUCGAAGACUGUUCGACUGGAGGCAGGGAGAGGUCUGUGGAAUUCCGGGUGUAGUGGUGAAAUGCGUAGAGAUCCGGAGGAACACCAGUGGCGAAGGCGGCAGACUGGCCCUGACCUGACGCUCAGACGCGAAAGCACGGGGAGCGAACGGGAUUAGAAACCCGGGUAGUCC
RNAcentral lists this ribosomal RNA (292 nucleotides) under uncultured bacterium. Its description in RNAcentral is "partial 16S ribosomal RNA". It matches the Rfam family "Bacterial small subunit ribosomal RNA", at positions 505 to 796 of the family's 1533-position model. The record is from RNAcentral.